RNAcentral lists this ribosomal RNA (238 nucleotides) under uncultured bacterium. Its description in RNAcentral is "partial 16S ribosomal RNA". It matches the Rfam family "Bacterial small subunit ribosomal RNA", at positions 95 to 334 of the family's 1533-position model. The record is from RNAcentral.
CCGGCGCACGGUGAGUACGCGUAUGCAACUUGCCUAUCAGGAGGGGGAGAACCGGCGAAAGUCGGACUAAUACCGCAUAAAGCAGGGAUCCCGCAUGGGAAUAUUUGCUAAAGAUUCAUCGCUGAUAGAUAGGCAUGCGUUCCAUUAGGCAGUUGGCGGGGUAACGGCCCACCAAACCGACGAUGGAUAGGGGUUCUGAGAGGAAGGUCCCCCACAUUGGUACUGAGACACGGUCCAA